GCAAACUUGGUCAUUUAGAGGAAGUAAAAGUCGUAACAAGGUUUCCGUAGGUGAACCUGCGGAAGGAUCAUUAGAAGAAGAAAGAUCGAUCCCUCGACGAACGUGGGGGGACGAUCGAAUCCAUAUCCAUCCCGUGUGCACUCAUCGACCGUUUGCUUUGGCAGGAAAAAAGGAGCCUUCGAUUCCGGAGGCGCCGGGGAGGACGUACGCGCGUGUGGAAUGUUACAUGUAACAUAUACAUACACGCGUAAGCCUCGGCCUGCCAGAGUUUUUCUUUUCCGAACUCGCGCCUUUUUAACUUUGAUCGGACUGAACCUUCGUCUCGAUUCUCUUUGGAAUCGGUCGAAACGAAUAUAACUUUCAACAACGGAUCUCUUGGCUCUUGCAUCGAUGAAGAACGCAGC
This 404-nucleotide unclassified non-coding RNA is filed under the name uncultured fungus. RNAcentral's name for it is "partial contains small subunit ribosomal RNA, internal transcribed spacer 1, and 5.8S ribosomal RNA". The stretch from base 1 to 73 matches the Rfam family "Eukaryotic small subunit ribosomal RNA", at positions 1759 to 1831 of the family's 1831-position model. The record is from RNAcentral. Lineage: Eukaryota; Fungi.